AGAAAUAAGAAAUGGUGAGGGAGGUUGAAGAGGAGCCAACAGAUGAACAUGGAUCUGCAAUAAUCAGAAACUACUUUGGUGGUGGAUGGAUGUUUGCAUCGGAUCCGAGGGUGCAAUGGUGGUCUGUCCAUCCUCUCCCCUACUCUCCUUUGAUUUUUUAUGUGUGAAUCUGGCUUUGAUCUCUUUUGGAUGUGUGGAAUAUGCUUUGCUCUAUAUUGCCUAGGUCCUAAGCAUUUCCAUGAGGUGUUUAGUGCAUAUAUGAAGAAUCAGGGGUACAAAUAUGGGGACUUUCCAACAAUUAUGAAGAAGUGUGAUCUUAAGCACCGACCGGGCGAUGAAAUCUGUAGAUAUUUCUGCAAGUUUUGCUUCAGCGAUGUUUGCCUCUUUAGCCCUUGCUUGAUUGGGCUGCUUAACUGGGAAAUCGUCGGCUGCAUCUUACUUUCAGGUUUGACUCUUUGGCCCUUGCUUGAUUCAGCUGCUCCUAGAAAAUGUUUCCGCAAGUUCUGUUUCGUUGAAGUUUGCCUCAAUGGGAAUGGAUCUACUUGUCGGGAUUAAUAAGCUUUGCGGAUGUAUUAGGUUGUGACUUGGUCUGGUCCCCGAUGUACUGAUUUAGCAAAUAGCUUGAAUCGGGGCAGUCAUAAUACAGAUUGCUGCUCUUUUCCUUGACGGCCAAAUUAGACUUAUCAUUUGCUGCUAUUGUUACAAAUCUUAUAGCUACAUGCAGGUAUGAGAACCAGGAUCAUUGAAUGCUCUUUAAGCCACUUAAAAUAAAUUUUUGUCCUCAUCCUCAUCCAAAAGAAAAUCUGAGCCUGAUAGAAAGGCAUUGACCAACAUAAACUGGUUUAAGAUGCUCGGCCUAAAAUGGAUCUAUCAUGCAAACAAUAAUAAUCUAUUUUCGUUUUUAUGAGCGACAUAGAGCAUGGCCCAUGUGCCUUCAACUUCGCACCCCCUUGUGAUGUUUGACUUGCUGCUCCUUUCCUCCAUGAAUCUAUGCAUGCUAAUUAUCGUUUAUCAACAUUUGUUAUUUUUAAUAUUCUGUAUCUUCCUUGCAUACAUUGUUGCACCAUGGAUUAUAUGAUAAUAGAUAUAAUUGUUCAAGAUUAUUUGUGGCAACUCUGCAGUGAGAUAUACUGUAUGAUUUAACUUUUAGUUGGACAAGAAGAGAUAUGAGGCAUGUCUAUGGGUGAAUUCCGAAGUACAUGUAUCUGGUUCUGGUGAGUCUGAUGGUAUGGAUGUAUAAGGAAGGCCUUUUUCCUACAGGUCAUUGCUGUUAUGCUUUUCCACUCUCAUGGACUAUGGUCACUUAUCACACAUUGAAUCGUAUGAUUAGCUCACAGAGAACUUUCUUUAGUUAGUCAUGUGUUUCGAGCUAAAGCUGCGACUUUAUUUAUCGGUUUAGGUGCCUUUGUAAUCUGUCCAUAUAUUUUUUCUUACAAUUUCAUAUAAAUGAACAUCUAUUUUCUAAUUUCA
This is a long non-coding RNA of Lolium rigidum, 1470 nucleotides long. RefSeq lists it as uncharacterized. The transcript has 3 exons. Lineage: Eukaryota; Viridiplantae; Streptophyta; Magnoliopsida; Poales; Poaceae. The record is from RefSeq and is a predicted model, not a curated record.